GAAGUUGUUCGUGGUGGAUUCGCUUUACUUAUGACGAAUCAUUCACGGACAACACUUUU
RNAcentral lists this microRNA precursor (59 nucleotides) under Dasypus novemcinctus (nine-banded armadillo). RNAcentral also lists the same sequence under 2 other names. Lineage: Eukaryota; Metazoa; Chordata; Mammalia; Cingulata; Dasypodidae. The record is from RNAcentral.